This 163-nucleotide ribosomal RNA is filed under the name uncultured bacterium. Its description in RNAcentral is "partial 16S ribosomal RNA". It matches the Rfam family "Bacterial small subunit ribosomal RNA", at positions 355 to 511 of the family's 1533-position model. The record is from RNAcentral.
UAGGGAAUCUUCCACAAUGGACGAAAGUCUGAUGGAGCAACGCCGCGUGAGUGAAGAAGGGUUUCGGCUCGUAAAACUCUGUUGUUAAAGAAGAACAUAUCUGAGAGUAACUGUUCAGGUAUUGACGGUAUUUAACCAGAAAGCACGGCUAACUACGUGCCAG